This is a non-coding RNA of Cricetulus griseus (Chinese hamster), 8163 nucleotides long. Lineage: Eukaryota; Metazoa; Chordata; Mammalia; Rodentia; Cricetidae. The record is from RefSeq and is a predicted model, not a curated record.
ACCAACCAACCAACCAACCAACCAACCAAACAAACAAACAAACAAAAAGAUUACCAUAAAUACUUUCUUUUGUAAGAGUUGCCUUAAUCAUGUAUCUCUUCAGAGCAAUGGAACAGUAACUAAGAUACCAACUACAUGUUUAAAUUUGUAUUUUGUUUUACCCUGCAUGUAUUUUUGUGCCUGUAUGAGGGUGUGUUCAUGUGAGGGCAAGGCCAGUGAAGUCAAGAAGAAGGCUCAUGGAGCUUGAGGUACAAGUGCCAGUGUGGGUGCUGGGAACCAAACGUGAGUCCUCUGUUAAGGAUAGUAUGUGAUCUAACUAUUGAGUCAUCUCUCCAGCCCUCCUGCUAUACACUUUUGACCUUGGAUUUUCUUAUCAGCUUGUCUAUGUCUAUGUUAGCAGGAAUAGCAAAUAGAGUGAGAGCUAUUAUUCUUGACAUUUUUAAUUUGGAAUUUGCCUGGAUAACAUGUGAUCACUAUUACAGAAUCAUCCCCACCAAAAAAAAAAUUCACAAAAUAAGCAAGAAUAUCUUUAUACUUGUGCUGUAAAAAAUGUCCCAUAGCCUAGCUCAUGCUAGGGAAAACUAGAGUCUGGUGGUUUGUUAUGAUGGAACACAGGCAGGGCUUCACUAUGAAGCCCCAGCUGGCUUGGAAUAUCCUCUGUAGACUAAGCUGACCUUGAACUCCUGUUAUACAUCUCUAGGGGUAGGCUAGAAUUAAUGGCGUGGUUCAAUCAUUAAUUAAUUAGCAUCAUGUUAAGUGAGGCAGACACUCCCCCCCCAGCUUGAGACAUACUGUUCAAUUGAAGAAGACAUAACAACUCAUUUCAAAAUCCUAAGACACUCAAGCAUGGAGUUGUUAGGACAUAGAUUCAGAUAUUUAUAGUGUAAAGAUUACUGGAUGUUAAUAUAAGGUAAGUAUUAGUACCAUCAACAGCAUCUCUAUCCUGCUAGUGAUGAGCCACACACUCUACCCUCAUCCUUGCACAUUGUGAUUGCCCUCAUUAAAACCCUGUAUGCUUUAUUAUAGAUGAUGACAAGUCUAUGUGCCUCUUUGUCAGAUCUUAGAGGUUAACUUGAAAAACAGGUUUCAUGCACACUGAUUGCAAUUAAGCACAUCUUAGUGGGUGUAAAGUAAAAGGCUAAAGUAAUUGGGCUUUUGUAUAUUUGAGACAGGAUCUUACUAUGUAAAUCAAGCUGGUAUUGAACACAUGAUCCUGCUCUUUUAGUACUGGGAUUGCAGGCUGCACCACACGGAUGUAUGGUCAUAUAGAAUCAAUGAACUCCAUGAAUAUAAGGGUGGGAGGAAUUUCAAAAAUCUUAGUAAAUCACACAUUAGACACAAUUCAUGACUAGUGUUAAGGGCAUGCCACUCAUGGCACUCUCUUUGGCCCUGGGGGAGUCAGUGUGCAGCAUACAGGGCUUUCAAACCAUGUAUUUCCUCACACUAAAAAGCACUAAAGGCCUGGGGUAAAGGGAUCUCUACUUUGUCAUUUUAUCUUUAUAGGCCAAGAGAAGUCUGAAAAUUGGUUAGUGUCAUGGGAAAUACCCUUUGCUCUUCACUGCAUGAGUUUUGAGAAGAUGUAGUGCCUGUGUUUAUACAUCCAUCAUUCUGGAAGGAAUUGAUAACAGCCUAGACAGAAGCCAUUACCUACCCCAAUAUUCCUUCUCCAUUUGUAUAUGUGUUAUCUGCACAUGUUUACAUUCCUUUAUUUUAGUUUGAUUAAUCUAUUAUAUUGUAAUUGUUGUUGUUGAGAAAGAGGCACACUAUGUAGCCCUGGCUGGCCUCAAACUCACAAAGAAUCACCUAUCCCUGUGUCUUGAAUGCUGGAGUUAAAGAUGUCCAUCAGUACAUCUCCCUCCACCAUUUUUUUGAGACAGCAUUUUUCACUGUACCAGGAGCUCAGUAUUCAGUUAGACUAGCUGGCCAGAAGGCUACCUGAGCUCCUCCUGUCUCCACCUCCUAGCACUGAAGCUACAGGUGAAUUUGAGAGCUUGCAGAUGAAGGUUUAGGAUCUGAACUCUGACCCUCAUGUUGCAGUGUGAAUACUCCACUCAUUGAGCAAUCUCCCAUCUCUCAUUUGUUUUAAAACAGAAGGACAAAUUUUUAUAAACAAUGUAUCUAGAAAAAAAACACUAUGGUUUUACUUUCUCCAUUCCAUACUUUGUGGGCAAAGGUGAUCAAUGGGAUGCUAGAAUAUUUGGUAAAGAGACUUGUAAGCAAGCAUAUAUAAAGUAAAUUGACUUGUCUGGACCCAUUUUCCUAUUUGCUAUUUAUACUGUCUCUUCUUCUUUCAGGUGAUGCCUGAAAGUCCUGCAGUCAUCCUGUGGCAUGCAAUUAUAAUUCUAGAAUUUGGAAGGCAGAGACAGGCAGUUCCCAGGACAGCUGUUCUCAGAAGCAUAAUUUCAGAGUGUCCCUGCAUACCAAUCUCUGGUGACAAGAAGAUACUGAAGGACUUAUGUAGGUGAAAAAAAAAACCAUGGAAAUUAAGCUACUCUCCAGUCCUUAAUUUUACUUUUUAAAAAGCUGAUUUAUUUUAUUUUAUGUGUAUGAAUGUUUUGUCUGCAUGCAAAUAUGUAUACUACAUGUAUGCCCAGUUCCUAUAGAGGCCAGAGAACAUUGGGUACCCUGGAACUAGAGUUAAUAGAAAGUUGUGAGCUAUCAUGCUGGUGUUGGGAAUUGAACCCAGAUCCUCUAUGUGAGCAGUCAGUGCUUUUAGCACUUGAAUAAUCUCUCCACAACCUUCUAAUGUACUUUUAAUGAAGGCAAGCUAUCCAUCAGUUUUUAAAAUUUGGAUUUUCUGUUACGAUUAGAAAAACAUUUCCUACCCCCUUAAAUUUAUGUAGUUGUUUUAAUUUUAUUUAAAUUAGUAGGGUGUUUAGAGGUUUAAAAUGUGAUUUAUUUUUCUCUUUCACAUUUCCUUGGUUUGGAUAGACUAGUCUAUCAUUUUGCUUUCUAGCACCCUGUGUUCCAGGUGCCCCCAAUUUCUACUUUAUCCUGGCAUGCUUUUAAGUUUCUUUCUAUGCUGCAGAUGAGGCAUAGUCUAUAGGCAUAACUUAGAGUAUUGUUCUUCCAAACUUUGCUGUUUAGGAUCCAGAACAGUGCACUUAGUACUGUCAAUCAAAUGUAACAUCGACAUCUAUAUGUCCAUCAAUUUUCUAGUAGCUGCAUCACAAAAAUGUUAAAAUUAUUUAUAAUUAUCCUUAAUACAUUUAUUUAACUCAAUAUAUGCCAAAGACAAUCCUUCCUAUGUGUAAAUAUCAUAAAAAUUUUUCUUAUUUGUCUUUUUGUUUCAUAUUACAUCUUUAUAAUCUGUUAUUUUAUACUUUUAGCACAGCUUAAUCUAGAUUAGCUAGUGACCAGUAGUUAAUAGCUCACAUAUAUGAUAGACAUGGACUAAUCAGAGCAGUGUAUUCCAGAAUCACAGACUCCCAAUGUCUGACCUAAGCAGACAGUUUGGAAGCCUGAUUGAUUGUGUUUGUGAGUUCACCAAAAAUCCUGGAUAAGAACCCCGUGAACUUAUGUUUCAAUCAGGGAAACAAAAGUUAUGUGUAUCCCCUAUCAGUGUCCUUAGCAACAAGUGAUGCUGUGGGCAGCUUCACAAUUGGAAGACAUUGUCAGCAUUGUCCACGUGUGAGCACAGUGCAUGUUAAAUGGAUAAUGGUGGGAAGUUGAGAUUUUCAUCUAAGUGUGAUGACAACAUCAUUAGUAAAAAUAUCAAGAUUUCAAAAAUCUUACAGACUUUUAUUGCCUUAAUGUUUUCCUGGAAGUCAUAGGCAGUCAAUAGCAUCAAGAAGUAGAGUCAUUUUUAAAACAAUCAUCAAAUUCUCAGAGAGAUUAUUGAGUACCAUAUUGUGUGGGUGAAGUCCCAAAUGAUGAGCAGUCAUUCUGACAUGAAAUCACAAGAAUUUAGAGUGAAGAUUUCUGGGACACAUUGAAUGAUGCUUGAAUCCUGACCACUUUGUGGUCCAGUGUAUAUGUGAAAAUGGGAAUAUAGAUCAUAAAACCACUACUGUAAGUCAGGGUCUCUCAGAUCAGAUGGUAGAACAAACAUUAAAUAUUCUCAGAAAACACUUAAGGGUGUUGGAAGGUGACUAGUGAGUUCAUCAUAACCCCAGGCUUUUAGUAUUUGAUAAAAGUUAAAGAACCUGGAAAAGCUGUAAAUAAACUUAUUUACAAUAUUUCCUUGCAAUUUUAGAGCUGGCUAAUUUGGUGUUUGUGCACCCAAGAUGGUUGAUGGGCAAGAAAUGUUGGAUCAAUCUGGAUUCAUCUUGUGAUCUACUUAGAGUAAAAUAGACACCUUUAUUUCUAGCACUUGGUAGACAGAGGCAGGCAGGUCUCUAUGAUUUCAAGGCCAUUCUGGUCUGCAUAGUUCUACGCCAGGUCAACCAUGGCAAAAUAGUUGAGACCCUGUCUUUUUAAAAUAUAUUGUUAUUCUAUAGGAUAUUGAGCUAAGAAUUAGAAAUAGCAAUGUCUUGUGAUAACAAACAAACCAUUGUCUUUCUUUGUGGCAUUUUAGAAGUAUAGGUAAGGAACUGAGGAAACUGCUCAUUUGGUAAAAUGCUUGCUCUGCAAGAAUGAGGACCUGGGUUUGAUCCGGAGUACCCACAUAAAAGCAGGGAUUAGAUAUGUGACUUUGUAAUCCCAACAAUGGGGAGACAGAGGCAGACAGAUUCCUGGGGCUUGCUGCCCAACCAGUCUAACUUAACCAGUAAGCACCAGGUACCAGUGGGAGAGCCAUCUUUAAAAAAUAUGGUAGACAGAGUCCUGAGGGAUGACAGUGAUCUCUGGUAUCUACACACACACACACACACACACACACACAUACACUUGCAUACAAGCACAGCUACACACAUUCCUGCACCUUUAUGCACAGGGACACACAUGUGAACAUGCUAAGCAUCUACAAGACAACAUGAAAAGGCUAGGAAAAAAGCAGUAAGUACAAGCAAGGAAAGUAACAAAGUAAGAUGACAAGGUCUAUAAUCAAAUGUGAGCAGGUGUAACGUAUAUUUGUAAGGAUGAGGCAGAUUGGUGAACUAUCAUUUAAAAAACUGAGGCAUAUCUACUAUGUUGAAUACAUGAGUGGAGUGACAGUGUUCUGAUUUUUCCUGACUCGUUAUCAGUGCCUAUAAAGUCAGUUUGCUAAGGGGCAUGUGUUUUAAGCUGACUGACCUCCUUGAGCUUUCAAAGAAGUUACAUUACAGCUAGGAAUGAGCAGCAAUAGGCAAGUGUCUGAGGUUCUGUCUUCCAAAAUGAUGCUCUGUCUUUGGACUAAGAUAUUCUGGGAAUAGAAGCCUGUUGACUUGGAUGAACUCUGAGAAGAUAUAUCAGUGCUGACAUCCCCAUGUGUUCCACACAUCAGCAAAAGCAGGCGCUUAUGCUAUACGGAAAGGCAUUUUGUUCCAUGUUUUGACAGCUCGGGAUCCAGGAGAAUUGGUCUCCUGGGUGGAUUAUGCUGAGUGUAGACAGAAAGCAUCUUCCAUCUCCUCCUAUAGUGUCAAAUGAAGCAUCUUCCAUCUCCUUCUGUAGUGUCAAAUAAAAACCCAAAGCAGGCUAGAAGAUGUGACACAUGCCUGCAACCCUAGUACUGAGGGAUGGAGGCAGGGGAAUUGUGAGUUUCAAGACCAGUUUGGUUUGCAUGGUGAGAUCCUGUAUCAGAACUAAACAAAUAACUCACAAAAUAAAUAAAUAAAUAAAUAAAUAAAUAAAUAGCCGUGUUUGUAGUGUUGCCUUGUGGAUGAGCCCAGCUGUAACUGAGCAACCUCCCUCUUAGGAUGGAAGACAUGUACCCUGCCUGCUAUUUACAGCCAGAUUCUAAAACUUGAUAGGACGAUAUCUGCUGAGGUGCCAGCUAGAAAAACAAUCAGUGAGGAGAGUCUGUUAGUUAAUUUUAUCAUUGCCGUGACAAAAAUACCAGACAAGAAGCAAUUUAAGGGUGAAGAGGGUUUGUUUUGGAUUAGAGUUGGAGGUGAUGAAGCAGCUGGUCACACUGUCUGCAGGAAGGAAGAAAGAGAGAUGGGCACGGGCACUCAGCUUGCUUUCUCAGUCUAGGACCUCAGCCCCUGGGAAGGUGCUGCCCACAUUUGGGGGUCUUAUCACCUUCAUUAAGUGAAUCUAGAAACUCCUCAACUGGCUCACCCAGAGAUGACUUCUAGGAAGUUCUAGAUCCUGCCAAAUUGACAGCCAAUAUUAAGGCCCACAGAGAGGUGCUGUCUAAGUCCAGAACCCAGGGCGACGACCAGCAGGAGUCUGGCAGCACUACCAGUUAACAGAUGUACCAUUGAAGACCCAGCCAGAGGUCCUUACAUUUCAGUUUGCAGGUGUGUUGUGGAGGUGAAGGGGGUGUCUCCAUAGUCAACCACACAAAGAACUGAAGUGGAGCUUUCAGAUAUUAACUAUAGUUACCAGUAAAAGCUGUGACUGCAUCAAACAUUCCAGAAAGCCAAUGGGUUAAAACUUCAAUGGUAGUAGCGAACUGGCAGUUUCCAGCCCUGGAGGCAAACUAACUUGUUCUAUUUUAGCUCCCCAAAUAGCCACUCCUUGCCCACCUCUGCAUCUGACCUUAACAUGCUUGUGUCUAUCUUGUAAGAUCCUUUGUGGACCAUGAAAACAGACCUCUGGCUCCCACCAAACCAAAUGCUAGGACUGUGGCCAGAUGACAGGGGCCUACAACAGUGCAUCUUUAGAAGUGCAUUAGUGUAGGGAUUAAUUUAUUCUGUUUAGUAUAAAAACUUCAUGGAACUAUUAUCACAUUGGAAUAUGGUGUUUGGAGCAACCUAAGUCUGUGUUUCCAGUCCAUGGUCCCUAAUUCUUGGUUCCAAAAUAAAACUUCUUUAUUCCUUUUGAGGUGAGAUCUGUGUUUUGUGUUGACAGUGAUCAUUUUCCCUUCUCUUGUGCCAUUUAUUCCAACAGAAGAGUGUUAGUGUAGAAGAUAGAACAACAAAACAAGACUCUAGCUAUUUAGAGCAGUGGUUCUCAUCCCGUGAGUUAUGACCCUCUUGAGGGGCUCAUGUAUCAGAUAUCAUGCAUAUCAGAGAUUUACAUUAUGAUUUAUAAAUUAGCAAAUUAUAGUUAAAAAGUGGCAGCAACAUAAUUUUAUGGAGAACUAUGUUAAAGGAUCACAGAAUUAGGAUGGUUUAGAACUACUGGUUUAGAAAUGUCUGUUUCUAGCGGGUUCUUUAUGGAUGGAAAUGCUCCUCCUAAAAACCACAUUUGUGUUAACAGUCUAUAAAGCAGAUUGAUAUAAAACAUCAGUGACUAUGGGGAUUUGUAAUGUUACCAGUCCAGAGGCAAAUGAUCUUGUUCUUUCAAGAUAAUGUGUAAAAACUAAUGCAAAAACCUAGCUUUCACCACCAAGGGAAUAGGAAGGUUUAUUUUGGAGCCAAGCAUGAGCAACCAGGGCCUGAAAAUACAGAUUGAGGUUGUCCCAAAUACCAUGUUCCAGUGAGUGGGUUUGGGGCACCCAAGCUGUUUGUCCUGUAGCCUUUGGCUUCCUCCCUUGAGAUAAUGCUCUUUCCUGAAUCACAGGAGCCAUCAGGGAUAGCAGAAACAGCCCACUCUGAUGCUCAGCGCCAGGAGUAUUACCAGAGCUGAGCAUGGGAGCUGCCACUCACAGUAAGGCUCAGAAAGGGAUUUAGGGAACAAGUCAGGCCUAGGCAGGGAUAGAGAGCCACAAAGAGGAAAUUGAGCCAAAGCCACACUGCUUACAUACUAAGCUUCUGUCUCUAGCCCACAAUGACCUGAGAUUCAAGAGCUGGGAGCUAGGUACAGGGAGAGAGUCUCGUGUCCCACAGCAGGUCUCAAAGCCUUGACUGGGAGUUGUGAUUGGUUUUGGUGAAAGCAUGUUUGUCCUUACCAGAUUCUGCAGGGAAUCCAGGUGUGAUGAACUGGUGUGACAUCCCUUACCUUGCUGCAUCGCUGAGUCACUGAACUGCAGAACAACACUUUAGGAGUGCCCUAAGUAGAUGUUGCCUCCUGCCAAGCACCAGUACCUAUGUAAAGACAUCUGCAUGAGAUAGAUUGUUGUGGUAUUAAGGGCAAUGGGCAUUAAUUUUUGUAUUGAUUAUGCAGCAUUUUGUCUUUUCUGCCUUGGCCCAUUUCUCUCUUCUUCUUUCUCAGAAAUAUCCAUCACUUUAAAUAAACUCUUGCCAUUAAGAGACAUAA